This 223-nucleotide unclassified non-coding RNA is filed under the name plant metagenome. RNAcentral describes it as "partial contains small subunit ribosomal RNA, internal transcribed spacer 1, and 5.8S ribosomal RNA". The record is from RNAcentral.
UUUCCGUAGGUGAACCUGCGGAAGGAUCAUUACAGUGUUCUCUGCCCUCACGGGUAGAAACGCCCACCCUUGUAUAUUAUAUCUUUGUUGCUUUGGCAGGCCGCCCUCGGGCACCGGCUCCGGCUGGAUCGCGCCUGCCAGAGGAAACCCAAACUCUGAAUGUUAGUGUCGUCUGAGUACUAUCUAAUAGUUAAAACUUUCGACAACGGAUCUCUUGGUUCUG